This 441-nucleotide ribosomal RNA is filed under the name uncultured bacterium. RNAcentral's name for it is "partial 16S ribosomal RNA". It matches the Rfam family "Bacterial small subunit ribosomal RNA", at positions 338 to 795 of the family's 1533-position model. The record is from RNAcentral.
CCUACGGGUGGCAGCAGUGGGGAAUAUUGCACAAUGGGCGAAACCCUGAUGCAGCGACGCCGCGUGAGGGAAGAAGUACUUCGGUAUGUAAAGCUCUAUCAGCAGGAACGAAACAACACGGUACCUGACUACGAAGCCUCGGCUAACGACGUGCCAGCAGCCGCGGGAAUACGUAGGGGGCAAGCGUUAGCCGGAAUCACUGGGGGUAAAGUGAUCGGAGUCGGCGGUGCAAGCCUGCAGUGAAAGGCUCGGGCCCAACCCCUGGACUGCCUUGGGAACUGGAAGGCUGGAGUGCUGGAGAGGUAAGUGGAAUUCCUGGUGUAGCGAUGAAAUGCGUAGAUAUUAGGAGGAACACCAGUGGCGAAGGCGGCUUACUGGAAUGUAACUGACGUUGAGGCGCGAAAGCGUGGGUAGCAAACAGGAUUAGAUACCCGAGUAGUC